GGGCUGCUCAAGGGGGUGACCCAGCCCUCUCCCGGAAGCCCCACAGCCCUCUCAGCCUGGGCUUGCAUUCUGCCCCCGCCUCUAGCCCCCCCACACCCUCCCCGGCGGUCUUCUUUAGAAUUGGGGGGCGGUGCGUCGUGAUUUCCCAGCAAGGGUAGACUAGGGCUCUUUCCAACAAGGGGAGCGCCCCCCAGGCUGCCGAGCAUUCUUAAAGCUGGGAGCCUGAUAGGAGCCGACUAGCCCGAUGGAGGGGCGCAGCUGCCGGCUCAGCGAGUUCCUGGGUGUGUGCGCGUCUCCCCUACCCGGACCCUCCGUCCACCUCCUCUCGUGUCCCGGCCUUUGAUCUCGGCAGGCUUGGCAGAGGGCGGGAGCCCAGAGCCUCAGCCGGCAGCUGGGAGGGUCGCACGUACAGCCGGUGCCCCCGGUGCUGAGGCCGGGGCCAAAGUCGGCCCGCGGGACCCGGGAGCUGCGGAGCGGAGCGCGGGGAGCCUGGUGCCCCGGCCCCCUGCGAUGGCCGCCGGACGCAGCCCCAGGGACUGCGGAUGCUGGGGUGCUCCUCCUUAGCGGGCGCAGCCUUUUCCUCACCUACCGCGGGGGCCGGCAGAAUGGGGGGCGGCGGGUCGGCCCUGAGGGUCUGCGCCGAGCACCGCGGGGGCAUCAACUGGCUCAGUCUGAGCCCGGACGGGCAGCGCCUGCUGACGGGCAGCGAGGACGGCACGGCCCGGCUCUGGAGCACCGCGGACGGCCAGUGCUGCGCCCUCCUCCAAGGACAUGAAAGCUACGUGACCUUCUGCCAGCUGGAGAAUGAGGCUGCCUUUACGUGCAGCGCUGACUGCACCAUCAGGAAGUGGGAUGUGCUGACCGGGCAGUGCCUGCAGGUGUUCCGAGGACACACGUCCAUUGUGAACAGGAUCCUGGUCGCCAACAACCAGCUCUUCAGUGGCUCCUAUGACCGGACAGCUCGCGCCUGGAGUGUGGACAAAGGACAGGUGUCCCGAGAGUUCCGGGGCCACCGCAACUGUGUGCUGACUCUAGCCUACUCUGCACCCUGGGACCUCCCCGGGGCCCCCUUUGAGGAGGAGGCUGCGGCGGGGGGCCUCCUGGUAACGGGCAGCACGGACGGCAUGGCAAAGGUGUGGCAGGUGGCCAGUGGCUGCUGCCACCAGACGCUGCGGGGCCACACUGGCGCGGUGCUAUGCCUUGUGCUGCACACGCCCAGCCACACGGCCUUCACUGGCAGCACCGACACCACCAUCCGCGCCUGGGACAUCCUGAGUGGGGAGCAGCUGCGGGUGUUCCGGGAGCACCAGGGACCCGUCAUCUGUCUGGAGCUCGUGAACCAGCACGUGUACUCAGGCAGCGCCGACAGGACGGCCAAGUGCUGGCUGAUGGACACAGGGGAGCGCGUGCGCACAUUCACGGCUCACCGACGCAGCGUGAGCACCCUAAAGUACCAUGCGGGCACCUGUAAGUGGCCCCGGCCCUCCCCACACCGCCCCCGCUUGCUGCACCCGCUUUGCCACUGCCUGUCCCCGUCACGCCUCUCCCCCCUCCAAAUCUUCCCUGGUCAGGGCCUCUCUGCUUCUCUACUUCUCCUUCGAGGUCCCCUUGAGCCUCCGCUGCCAUUCAGGAUGGUCAGUACUGAAAGGCAGCGGCCAUUCCCAGAUAACAGUGGUCUGAAUGGGAUCGCGGUUUGUUUUUCUCUCAGCUGGAAGAAUUUUAGGGGCUGUCAGUCUAGGCUAGAAUGGAUGGCUCCAUGAAGUUAUGAGGCUCCCAGGUCCCUCCUGUCACUUUGCUUCAUCCUUAGCACGUAUCCUCCAUCUUUAAGGGGCCUUAUGGUUCAAGAGAGCUGCUGGAGCUCGCGUGUCAUACAUCAGGCUAGCAGGAAGAAGAGGGAAGGGCAAACGGAUGAGUCUCCUGGCUGAGUAGGCCCCUUUCAAGAUCUUUCCUGGAAGCUCCACCCAAAGACUUCUGUAUACAUCUCUUUGACCUCUUCCUGCAAGAGAGGCUGAGGAAUGAAAUCUCUUACCGGGGGACACUGCUCCCAAGACUAAUCAGGGUUCUUUUGCAAAGAAAGAAGAACAGAAUGGCUUAUCGGGUAGGCAACAAACUGUCUAUCCCAUGGGUCUCAAAUUGUCACACAUCUGGGCUUUGCUGGCUCUGUCGAACUGACUUGCCAUGCGUUCACACUCCAGGCACACGCAGAAGACAAACCCUGUUCCGGGGAAGCAACCGCCCCAAGCACACCACACAGGCAUGGGAGGGGGCUCCCAGGUUCCUGAAGAUCUGUUUCCCAAUGCGGUCCCCAAUGUUACGAUUUGCUAUCAGUCCCUCCAACACACACUAUUCACACACACACACCAGCAGGAAGGCCCAGAGCUGAGCCUAAGUCGGCUUCCUAGCACUGGGGUGAGGGAAGAGCCACAGUGCAAACUUCCAGUGACUUCGCAGCACAGGUGUUAGAUGAAGACAGAAUGUGGAUCUCUGAAAAUAGAACUUGAGAUGCCCUUGGGUUUAGGUGUUUGACAGGGAAACAUUAUUUUUCCCUUCUUCCUGUAUCCAAACCCGGAAGUGUGAUUAUGGCUCCGCUCCCAAGUCCGGGACCUCUAACUUAAAAAAAAUGUUGCCUAGAGCGCCUCCCCUUGGCAGCAGCUGGGAUGGAAGCUGCUGCUGUAUGCAAUCCUAGGGGCCCUACCUGCUGCCCACUGUUAAGGAACUUGGUCCUUGGUCUUUGCCAGCAGGCUGCAGGAUGGUUAGACUUAAUUCCUGACCCUCUUCCCACCCGCUGCAUGUUCAACAGCUACACUGAGUUGGUGGGAGGGGAAGGCAGGCAAGGAGCUGAAGACCCAGAAAUGGAAUUUCCCUCAGGGCCACAUUUACAGGUGGCUGUAACAGAAAGGCUGUCAACAGGCAGGUGACACGUGACAUGGAGUGGGAAGGGAGCCCUCUGGGGGUUCUUGCUGUGGCAUGCUCCAGCUCAGGCUGCCGGUGGGUGUAGCAGAUGCUGUGGGUACCACAUUCAGAGGUGCUUCUUGCUGUGGCACCUGAAGUCCUCUGCCUGAGGGCAUGUUCCUGUGAGGAGCGCUGGGAAUUGACACCGAGAGGCCCUGGGCCAGUGACUCAUGGAGUUGCUGGAUAAGCAGCCCAGCAUCCUUGCCCCCGGGUGGGACAACUGAGACGUGGUCUGCACCUUCUCCCAAGGCCCCAGCAGUCACCGGCUCACCAGCACACCUGUAUGGCAUCCUUUUUUCCUGUUUCUCUCCCCACUUCCGGGAAGGCCCUGCCAGGUGAACUAUUUGCACUGAGCCCUAGUGUCAGGUUCAGCUGGGACAACCAGGCUAGCUGCUCGUGUACCAGGUCAGUGUUCUCAGUGUGGUCCCUGGCCAACAGCAGCAGCAGCAGCAUCUGGAACGGGUAGAAAUGCAGGUUCUCAGGCCCCACCCCAGACCUCCUACGUCAGAAGCUCAGGUGGGCCCAGCAGUCUGCCUCUUAACAAGCCCUGCCCGUGAUUCGGACACACAUGGGGGUUGGGAAUACUCCUACGAAAUUACAAUGUAGGAAACCGGGCUCCUCGGGGCCAGAGGUUGGGCAAGGACACUCUGGUGGGCCCCACGGACCUGGACUCUGGGGAGCCCAGUUCAUUGCUGGGGGCGGGGAUCUGGCUGAUCCUUGCUCCGGAGGCUGCUCAGAUGGUGGGGAGAGGGGUGAUACCCCUGAGGCAGGGGCUUCAGAGCUGCCGGCAACACCCGGCUGCCACCAAAAUGCCUGAGUGGGAACCUGGGCCCAGAUGGUGCUCAGCAGACAGAAACACCUGGAAGGCCAGCGCAGGCGGAUUGGAAACCCGAGAAAGGCCCAGCAGGCCCCCAGCCGUCACUCUGACUCACAGAAAUGUAGUUAAGAUAAUGAAGGCGCCGCCUCCUUCCUUUCAAGGGGCUUCUUCUAUUCCCCACUUGAACCUUAUGACAUCCCUGUAAGGCGGGCGGAUGGGGCCUGGAGAGGGUCCAGGUGAAUCGGCCCGCCCUGCCCCUGCCCUGCGGCGUCCUGGAGACGUGGAGGGCUCUCGGGCGGGACGCCCAGUGGCGCGUGUGUCCACAGUGUUCACCGGCAGCGGGGACGCCCGCGCGCGCGCCUUCGACGCCCAGUCCGGAGCGCUGCAGAGGGUGUUCCGCGGCCACGCCUUUAUCAUUAACUGCAUCCAGGUCCACGGCCAGGUGCUGUACACCGCCUCGCACGAUGGCGCG
RNA transcript from Rhinolophus ferrumequinum (greater horseshoe bat), 4241 nucleotides. It is a transcript of the gene named WD repeat domain 86, with no coding region annotated. Lineage: Eukaryota; Metazoa; Chordata; Mammalia; Chiroptera; Rhinolophidae. The record is from RefSeq and is a predicted model, not a curated record. The transcript has 6 exons.